Molecule: ribosomal RNA, 191 nt
Filed under: uncultured soil bacterium
Lineage: Bacteria
Description: partial 16S ribosomal RNA
Rfam family: Bacterial small subunit ribosomal RNA
Source: RNAcentral
AGAUUGAACGCUGGCGGCAGGCCUAACACAUGCAAGUCGAGCGGUAGAGAGGUGCUUGCACCUCUUGAGAGCGGCGGACGGGUGAGUAAUGCCUAGGAUCUGCCUAGUGGUGGGGGAUAACGUUCGGAAACGGACGCUAAUACCGCAUACGUCCUACGGGAGAAAGCGGGGGACCUUCGGGCCUCGCGCCA